This is a non-coding RNA of Musa acuminata subsp. malaccensis (wild Malaysian banana), 2205 nucleotides long. NCBI's taxonomy places the organism in Eukaryota, Viridiplantae, Streptophyta, Magnoliopsida, Zingiberales, Musaceae. The record is from RefSeq and is a predicted model, not a curated record.
GAAUGACUCCUCCCGAAUUGCUUAUCACUGUUUACGUAUAACAUAUAAAGAAUCCGCUUCGACAUUCUCUCAGACAGGUGAUCGGCGACGCUGGAAAUGGCGAAUGGAAGCGGCGGUGGCGACGGCGACGCUAGGGAUUUGGGACGAAGAAGGAUGCAGUAAGAGCAUUCUCCAGGAGUGGCAGCUCCGAUCUCGAACUGUCUUUCGGACCGCCUUCGUCCCGUCCCAAAACCCUAACCCUGAAACCCUCGUCCUCGCCGCCUCCAGCGACGGUUCCAUCGCCACCCUCUCAGUGUUUGGUAAAAACAAACAUGAAAUCAUCUCAACAUGCGAGGACAGGAAGUAUCCAGCGACAUUUCUUGCAUUGAUGGCAUUGCCCUUUUCUAAAGCAGGUGGAUAGAUAGGGUCUUCAACCAAAAUGUCAGGAUUAUAUGUGGCCCUUUACUGGCGGAGCCAUGUUGUAUCAUUUGGGACACAAGGGCUCUGCAUCUGGUUAACACGGAUCCCAUAUUGGUAUAAACCUGAAUGCAAAAAUGAGAUUGGUACACAUGUUAGUUGUUUCAUUUUUCUGAUUGGUUUGCUUUGUUUGUUAAAAAGAGCAUCACUUGGUUGGUUGUGUACGUUAAUUUAUCUUAAACCGUGAGAUGCAAUUUUACUUAGAUGGUAUACACCAACUGGUACUUAUUGAUUCGAGAAUGAACCGAAAGCGGUCCACAAGUGGUCUUGUGCCACAUAGGAACCACCAAAAUGGGGCAGUCCACAUGUGGGUAGGUUGUACAUAGUGACCCUCCCCCAAGCCCCAUCUUGGUAGGAGCCUAUUGUAUCUAACAUCCAUCCUUUACAAAUACGAUAAGUACUUGAAAGAUUUAUGUUUCAUAGGUCAUACAUGUGUCUUAGAGUAUGUUAUGAAGUAUCCAACAAGUGUCAUACUUUGAUGGGUAUGCAAUGAAAAUUUUGGCGUGUCCGUGUUCAUAGGUGUACCUUUGACCGACCACACACAAACUCUACAUUGGAUGGAGCCUCAAGUUCUGGGUUGCAUUUUCAGUUUCUUUGAAAAGUGGUGCCAAAACAAUUUUCUGGGUUGAAAUUCAGAGAAACAAUAUAUCAGGUUAAACUUAGCGCUAUCUCAGAAUGAUUUUAAAGUAUUUCAGGAUGUUAUAAUUAUCUUGUAAAUAAUUAAUGCUGCUGGUGGAUGUCAAUGAGUUCCUUCUUUCUGGAAUAUUCUGCUUCAAUAUGUAUCUCCCUUAUGAAUAUACUAGUUUUGUUUGGAUUCAUUAAUUCACACUAAAGUAGUAUAUGGCACGCAUCUUGUUUUACUUCUGAACUGUGCUGCAAUCUUUCCUUUUUAAAUAACAAAAAUCGUAGUCUUCUGUAUUAGAUUUCCCCUUUGAGGCUUGUGAUACUGGUUCCAGGUUAUCAGUUUGGAAUCUGCUAUCUUGUGAAUGUGUUUGUAGUAUAAACAGUCAUGCACGGUGCAAGAUUUACUGAUUGAUGAUGACCAAGUAAGUUCAUGCAACUAUAGAUAUAUGCUCAAACUGACACAUCGUUCGCCUUUUACCCCAUAUCUAUCAUGAGACACCUGCCAAGAGAAUGAAUUCCCUAUUGCUGUGUGCUUGCUUGACCACUGGUCCACCAUCGAAGAUUCUUGCUACCGCUUGGAUUGCUGCUGACGCUGGUCUUCUCCUAUCUGUGUGUCUGAUCCGUUGAUCUGCCUGAAUAUGCCACCACAAUUGGGUGGUCUCAUUGAGGUGGCACACAAAAGUCUCAUCCGGAGAAAUCCUGCAUGCCAUUCACAACAUGAACCACGGUCUGCACACCACCAGUUUCAAUGGAGUUUCUCAACAAAUGGAAUUGGCUCCUCAUUCGGCAUUUUCUGUUUCCCUUUGCCCUCCUGGAGUUACAGACAUGGUGGCCAUGGAGCGAGCAAUGUCUAUAAGGUAUUCAUUCAGGUUACAGACAUCGGUGUGGCCAUGGAGCUCCUCUGGGGGAUGCCCUUACGCUUAUCACAAUAUAGCUUGGAUAAGUAAACAUGACAAAUGACACUUUCAGAAUCCUAUCCUCUGGUUGGUCAUUUUACCAAAAGUCUAGACUUUUGGAUUCCUUUGUGUGGAACCCAAUCACAUUGGCAACUUCUAAUAAGAUUGCCACCAUUUGGACAGAGUUGGAGACUUGGGAACAAAGAGCAUAUCAACGUAAGGGUAUAAA